CUCACCCUCUCUCACACACCCAACCUCCCACCUUUAGUGUGUGUGGAUGGGACUAAGGUUUUCUCAUUUCUUUCAGAUUGUGCGCCUCCGAGGUGAACGUCUGACUGAAGUGAACGUGUGGCUGGUCGAGAACUCCUCCAAACAGGUUUGUUUGUGUGGCUGACUGGACCUACUACAAGGUGCUUCUUGGAGAUACAUCAGUGAUGGUGAGGCCGUCACAUUACCAGCGGUUGUGGAUUUCUCAAUUCAACCUUUAUAUUGCAGACUCCACAUAAGGUAAAACACUUCCAUUCAGCAAUUGGUGUGCAGUGUCCAGAUUGUCAACAUUUAGUUCAGUAUGAUGUUACUUCUGGCCAGCUUAACCUGAGGAGAAAGUCAGUACAGUACACGAUUAGAUUUUGAAAAGGAAACUGCAAAAUCUCAUGGUGUUGUCCCGACCUCCGUAAAGUGUCAUUAAUGCAAGAACGAAUGUAAGUGUCGUCAAGACCAACACAUGUGGUAACUCCAACGAGAACCAGGCCAAUAAGCAUUGGCUACUUUAAGAAAAUGACUGCCCAAGGAUUAAUUUAUAUAUAACCAAGAAGAGUUACCUAACUAAGGUACAAGAUGCUAACUGAACAAUAUAUUAAACAUGAUAUUAUAUACAGUUAAGAGGUUCAUCUGCCCC
RNAcentral lists this long non-coding RNA (667 nucleotides) under Homarus americanus (American lobster). RNAcentral's name for it is "uncharacterized LOC121856109, transcript variant X4". Lineage: Eukaryota; Metazoa; Arthropoda; Malacostraca; Decapoda; Nephropidae. The record is from RNAcentral.